CACCUCAAAAGCCGCCUGGUUUUCAAAGAUUGGAGUGCCAGUAACCUCUCUGAUGCCCCCAGGAACUGCAGUAGCAGUGGCAAAGGCAACCGUAGCGACAAGGCCGCCCAUGACCGAGCAGUUCUGAGAAGUCUUGGCCCAAGAUCAUGGCAAGGGUUUUUGGCUUCUAACAUUGCUGCUGCUGAGAGAUGAAUCGCAUUAUUCCCUGCAUUAUCCACUUGGCUGAACACGUCUCUGGUCAGUAUUUUUCUCUUCAGUAAGAGUUGGAGCACACAUAGUUGCCUGUUCCCUGCAGCUAACAAAACCGCGUUCUUUCCCUCUGCGUUAAUGUCCCGGAUGGCCACCGGAAAAAAUUCAAGGAUCUCCUCCACCAUUUCAAUCACACCAUUUUUUGCAGCAAUCAAAAAGGGUGUUUCCAACUUCCCCAUUUCGGGUGUUUCCAACGUCCCCAUUUCAAGGGUUUUCUCCUCUGUCUCUUCGGUAAAGCAGUAAUCAAAGUUACUGCAUGGGGACAUCCGACUCCUCCGAGCCCAAGGUGGCUUCGUCGAUGCCGAUGACCCUGUGUACAUUUCAUCAGAUAUAUCGUAUUUAUUUUUUGUGGCUUAAGCUCGAUUACUACGAUCCCACUAAAGCAGUUUUCCUUAAUAAACUUGAUUUUAGAAUCUAGGUUUGGAUAUCUAGUAUUAUUAGAAUAAUCACAUUGUCAGUCGUAUUACCGUCGUAAGGUAAGGCCUUGUGUCAUGCUUGACGCCUUUGAACCGAUGAUGCCGAUAGAUGUCGCAAGGCCUUGGUCCACCAUCCGUGCCGAAUUCGCGUAGAUUUAUGUUGGCGUUGCCUCAUCGUUGUGUUAAUGGGAUGGAUAUUUGUAUAGAUAUUCGGAAGCACGACUUGGUAAAUUUGUAUGAAUUUUAUGAAAUAAUGUCAUUUUAGAAAAUAAUCUUUGCAAAUUAGUGUUUCUUUAUUGUGUGUGUGUUUUUUUUCCACAAAUACCAUCGCGGUUGAUCACCUGGGCUGCCCGCUCUACUUUUGGUUCGGGUUAGAAUGACCCAACAGCAGAGAUGCCCAAUGGUAUCUAGGCAGCCACGCCGACUCCAUCGCUUCAUCAGUCCUGAACCUCAAUCUGCCUAGCGUAGUCAUAACGAAGACUGGACGGCGUUGUGGUAGCCCCAUCCCCCAUGUUGACGUCGCGGAGGCCGAUGCUAAUUCGGCGGUCGUUCACCUUCAGGUGACGUAGAACUCCUGGUCCAGGGUGGGAAGAAGGUCAAAGUGCGGGGGAUCUGUAGAUGCUUGUCCUCAAACCGGAUCACCCGCGUAACUCAACACAAGAUCAUGGUAGUUUACCACCCACUUCAUCGAUGAGCGGACGUCAACAGUCAACAGUCUGUUGACUCACGACAUGGGACACGUCAUUCGCACCAAGUGCUCAUGCUCGCCUCUAUCUAGAAGAUCACUCCCCAGGUGCAUGAGGCGAUGAUGCGAGAGAUCUCGAUAAGUGUACUUUUGUAAAAUUUUUUUUUUUUUUUUUUUUUACCUGUCUGUUUCAUGUCACUUCGAGAUCGACAUGAAAGAGCCAGGUAUGUCUGAAUACAUAAACCGGGAUCGGUAUAAAGAGUGAAACUACGAGCUGCACAUGUACUACCAGAUUUUUGCAUCUCCUGCUGAUGCUUUGACCGGUUCAUCCCUGGAGUUUGUGGAAAUGAUGGAUGAGUGGCACUGGCUCUACAGACAUUAUUAGAGUCCGAAUUUUUUGAUAAGUUUUUUUUUUUGUUUAAUUUCAUUUUAAAUUUAAUUAUUUUUUUAUUCACUGCUGAAAUUAAUGGCAAAUAAGAGUUAUCGGGUCGAGGAACGGCAUCAGAACGGUGGAAGUUGGGGCUUGGGAGGAUACACAGCCAAUUAUGGCAAUCAGGUGGCUAAUGAUAUUUAUGCAAGUGUUCCGUUAAAUAUUUUAAUUCUAAAUUUUAUUACACUUAAAAUUUCAAAAUUAUGAUCGAUAAUCUUAAUUGGUUUCUUUUUUUUUCCAGGUUUCUGUGUUGUAGAAAAAUGACGAGUACUUGGCCAACCUUUCCCAACAACAACUGGACGCGCCAAUAGAGUAGCUGACACUUGAUCUAGAUAUGUCUCCAUGGUUGUUGAUGGAUGAGAAUGGGCGGGGAAUGGUAAAGAGAUCUGCGGUCUAGGAGAGGGUUGAGUUCAAGACAUCGGAGGAUCUCUUUCAUCUAGCUCUCAACCUCCAAGUAUAACAUCUUCUAGAUUUUAGGGGAGACGAACCACGCUGGCGAGGAUAAGCUCAAGAAAAAGUUGGGGCCCAAGCAAGAGGAAAAGUUUCGGCAAUACAUUGUUGAGAUGAGGCUGUGUCACAUCCUAUCCCAAAUUUAAUCGUAUUUUAUUCCUUGACACGAGAAAAUUACAAGAAUACCUCUAACGAGUUAAGUGGAUAUCCUAGAGGGAAAUCCUAUGUGGACAUCUGAGUCAUUGUCAAUCUCUGUCCCGUUUCACGUCUUUCUAGGCAUUACAUGUUGUUACGAACAUAUGAGCAUGAUCAAGAAGUAAAACGAACGAAUUACGCACAUUUUUUUAAUGAGAGGCAAAAUAGUAAUUUUUCAUUCUCGAAAAUCUAUUACUUGUUUUUCAAGACAACAUUGGGUUGCCCUUUUGCGAGCAGCAGAUUGUGAUAUAGUUGGCAUAUUCGUUGGACUUGUUACACAAGUCAGCAAGUGGGUCCGUUUACAUUAGUAUUUUAUUACUUAAGCCUCACAUCUAAUUAAUUAUUGUUUGGGCAUGAUACAAAGAUACGCACAAACUGACGAAUACUCGAGGACAUCAACGCGUGGAUGUAAUAGAAAUGAAAUUCAAAGCUACAACCAAAAUUUUGCAGGAAACGGUGAUUCAAGUGCAAAUCGGUAAUUUCAAGUUAUUGAAAUUAUUGUGCAUGUUCUGAAGUAAGAGGGUGUGCCAAGUGGGCCCUCCCCCUCACCACACCCACGUGUCUCUCUCCCUCUUUCGGGUGCACUCUCACCUCUCUCGGACUCUCCGUCGCUUACCCUUAUCUCACUCACCUAUUCUCUAGUCUCUCCCUUCUCUCUCUUUCCCCUAACCUCUGCAACUCUUCCCUCUCUGUUUUGCACAGAAAACACAGACGGCGCCCCGCGCUGUUUCCUGUCGAAACCUGAGCCACCCAAACCUCCAUCUCUCUUCCUCUCGCCCCUCCUCGAGUCCUAGAAUUUCAGAAAAAAUGUUGGACUCAAACAGAGACCGACAUGCCCACGAAAUUAGGUGUGAACUCGAGGGAAAACUCCGGCUAAAUUCUGCCGUUCACGGCCAAGUUAAGCCUCGGGGACACCGUCUUUCUCUUCCUUUUGAUGUUCUGAUGCGAUUGCUGAGUCUGCAUACAUGAUUUGGUAGAGUUUUGGUGCAGAUGUAACUUGGUAAAUCCUUAUCUUCCUUUUCCCCAGCUUCAUUUCCAUAGGUAGAUUGUGUGAUUUGGUUGUGAAAUGAGCUCGAAACGAGCUCUGGAAUAGGACCCCAGAUUCUGGCCGUUCACAGGCCUCACGAGGUUAUGCCUGUACUCUCAGGAGCGUGAAAGACGGGGUCGUGGGUCACACGCGCCUCCCAGCGGAGGUACUAUGCUCUGCCACCGGGCAAGGCAGAGUCCGGCCAAACUCGGUGCGUGGCGGUGAAAUAGCAGUGUUCAAAUUUUGAGGGUAUCUUUUAGAAUUUUAUUAUUUUAAAAGUUUCUUUUAAUUAGGAUUAGCACACUAGGGUUGGAAGUAGUUAAGCAACUAUAGAUUCACUAUUAGGGUUGUUACGAUGGGUCACCAUAAAUUCUAAUUAAGCAAGUGAAAUAGCUGUUACCUUCUGGGAGCAUGAAGAUGGCGCGGCCGUCAACAAGUUCAUAAGGUGUGGUCUCAUCAUUGUCUUUUUUCUUUCUGGGAAGGUGCUGCGGUGACCUGCGGAAUCAUACCACUGUCUUCAUACUCAUACAUGGCAGCUAGUCUUAACAAUUCGUUCAUGAUCUGAACAGACCAUUUGUGUUUUUCUUUCUUAUCCCUUAUCUUUCUUAUCUGCGUAGACCCUUUAAACAACAUAUGAUGAUUAGAUAAAGAAAAUUAUGUAUCUAAAUAAGAGAGAUUAGGAGAUAAAAUGAAAAGUGGCUUUAUUACCUGAUCCAAAAACAAUCAUCAUUGCCUUUGAUCAAAUCUUGACAAACUCAAAGCAGGUGUUGUAGUUUACGGGAAACUUUUGGUAUCCUUGACCUUGAUCAACAUUGGAUUUUGACCCUGCAUAUGUUAAAGGUAAUAAUCUGCCGUCUUUUUGUAUGUCUAGUUUUGUAAUUUGCGUUUUGAUUUAAACUCUAAUCUGUUGUCACAUAUAUGGCAGAGAUGAAUUGUAA
Long non-coding RNA from Pyrus x bretschneideri (Chinese white pear), 4390 nucleotides. RefSeq lists it as uncharacterized. NCBI's taxonomy places the organism in Eukaryota, Viridiplantae, Streptophyta, Magnoliopsida, Rosales, Rosaceae. The record is from RefSeq and is a predicted model, not a curated record. The transcript has 2 exons.